UAAUACGUAGGUGGCAAGCGUUGUCCGGAAUUAUUGGGCGUAAAGCGCGCGCAGGCGGUCCUUUAAGUCUGAUGUGAAAGCCCACGGCUCAACCGUGGAGGGUCAUUGGAAACUGGGGGACUUGAGUGCAGAAGAGGAAAGUGGAAUUCCAAGUGUAGCGGUGAAAUGCGUAGAGAUUUGGAGGAACACCAGUGGCGAAGGCGACUUUCUGGUCUGUAACUGACGCUGAGGCGCGAAAGCGUGGGGAGCAAACAGG
This 256-nucleotide ribosomal RNA is filed under the name uncultured bacterium. RNAcentral describes it as "partial 16S ribosomal RNA". It matches the Rfam family "Bacterial small subunit ribosomal RNA", at positions 521 to 776 of the family's 1533-position model. The record is from RNAcentral.